CACGUAGGGUCCGAGCGUUGUCCGGAAUUACUGGGCGUAAAGCGUGCGCAGGCGGUUGGGUCAGUCGCUGGUGAAAGCCCCACGCUCAACGUGGGAAUGGCCAACGAGACGGCCCGACUGGAGGCAGGGAGAGGCCGGUGGAAUUCCGGGUGUAGUGGUGAAAUGCGUAGAGAUCCGGAGGAACACCAGAGGCGAAGGCGGCCGGCUGGAUCUGACCUGACGCUGAGGCACGAAGGCGUGGGGAGCGAACGGG
This 253-nucleotide ribosomal RNA is filed under the name uncultured bacterium. Its description in RNAcentral is "partial 16S ribosomal RNA". It matches the Rfam family "Bacterial small subunit ribosomal RNA", at positions 524 to 776 of the family's 1533-position model. The record is from RNAcentral.